AUCUUGACAAAAAUAGAAACAAAAAUCGAUUUUAAAGUUUAAUUAAUUGAACAGUACUCCUAGAACGUCGAAAGAGGAGGGGGAGCUAGGGGUGAAUAAGAAUGAUAAAAACGAAGGAAAGAAAAAUAUUGGAUUUCUACUGCUAUAUGUUUUCUUCAAUCCCAACUGCAACAGGAAGGAAUAUUUAGGAGUUGGGCAACAUUGAUCCCUGAAU
This is a long non-coding RNA of Eurytemora carolleeae, 214 nucleotides long. RefSeq lists it as uncharacterized. Lineage: Eukaryota; Metazoa; Arthropoda; Copepoda; Calanoida; Temoridae. The transcript has 3 exons. The record is from RefSeq and is a predicted model, not a curated record.